RNAcentral lists this ribosomal RNA (943 nucleotides) under uncultured bacterium. RNAcentral's name for it is "bacterial SSU rRNA". It matches the Rfam family "Bacterial small subunit ribosomal RNA", at positions 8 to 919 of the family's 1533-position model. The record is from RNAcentral.
AGAGUUUGAUUAUGGCUCAGGACGAACGCUGGCGGCGUGCUUAACACAUGCAAGUCGAACGGGGAUUAUCAAUGAAGCUUAGCGAUUUGAUAAUACUAGUGGCGGACGGGUGAGUAACGCGUGGGCAAUCUGCCCAAUGGUGGGGGAUAACACUGGGAAACUGGUGCUAAUACCGCAUAAGCUGUACCUGGCGCAUGCCGGGUACAGGAAAGGUGGCCUCUUAACAAUGCUAUCGCCGAUGGAUGAGCCCGCGUCUGAUUAGCUAGUUGGUAGGGUAACGGCCUACCAAGGCAGCGAUCAGUAGCCGGCCUGAGAGGGUGUACGGCCACACUGGGACUGAGACACGGCCCAGACUCCUACGGGAGGCAGCAGUGGGGAAUAUUGCGCAAUGGGGGAAACCCUGACGCAGCGACGCCGCGUGAGCGAUGAAGGCCUUCGGGUUGUAAAGCUCUUUUUCAGUGGGACGAAGUCUACCUUGCAAACAGUGAGGUAGGGUGACGGUACCCUGGGAAUAAGCCCCGGCUAACUACGUGCCAGCAGCCGCGGUAAGACGUAGGGGGCUAGCGUUGUCCGGAAUUACUGGGCGUAAAGAGCGUGUAGGCGGAUGUAUAAGUCAGGCGUGAAAGACCGGGGCUCAACCCCGGGGUUGCGUUUGAAACUGGGCAUCUUGAGGGCAGGAGAGGGAAGCGGAAUUCCUGGUGUAGCGGUGAAAUGCGUAGAUAUCAGGAGGAACACCAGUGGCGAAGGCGGCUUCCUGGACUGACCCUGACGCUGAGACGCGAAAGCGUGGGUAGCAAACAGGAUUAGAUACACUGGUAGUCCACGCUGUAAACGAUGGGCACUAGGUGUGGGAGGUAUCGACCCCUUCUGUGCCGGAGUUAACGCAUUAAGUGCCCCGCCUGGGGAUACGGUCGCAAGGCUGAACUCAAAGGAAUGACGGAAG